AGCUGUACUCCAUGAUCCCCUUCACGUGGAGAUUCUGAAAGUGGGUGGCCUCCGCGGUGGCUUCAGAGUGGCUCUCCCUCAACCUGCGGAGUUCGCCAUCCAUCUUCUUCGACCUCUUCAUCAAAUGAUGAACUUCCUUCUUCAGACGCUGGAUCGUGGACUUCAGCGGGAUCCCCCGUGGUAGGGGAAGCACUACGGUAGGACACUGCCAUCGGGAGAUAAAAGUGUCAAGGCACGUCCCAUUGCAGAAAGAAAAACAAAAAGGAGGAGG
RNAcentral lists this long non-coding RNA (271 nucleotides) under Elaeis guineensis (African oil palm). Its description in RNAcentral is "long non-coding RNA (EGUI_LNC068081)". Lineage: Eukaryota; Viridiplantae; Streptophyta; Magnoliopsida; Arecales; Arecaceae. The record is from RNAcentral.